Molecule: transfer RNA, 72 nt
Filed under: Camelus ferus (Wild Bactrian camel)
Lineage: Eukaryota; Metazoa; Chordata; Mammalia; Artiodactyla; Camelidae
Rfam family: tRNA
About the family: Transfer RNA (tRNA) molecules are approximately 80 nucleotides in length. Their secondary structure includes four short double-helical elements and three loops (D, anti-codon, and T loops).
Source: Rfam by way of RNAcentral
GAGGGUAUUGCUCAGUGGAAGAGCGCGUGCUUGGCACACACAAGGUCCUGGGUUUAGUCCCCAGUCCCUUCA